AGACCAAGCUAAGUCCUGAACGACGCAGUUGAAUUUACGCAGAAUGUGUAGUUUCUUUCUCUUUCUUGGUUAAAAAAAAACAAAAGAAUAGGCAGGACCUGGAGUGAACCAAAAACAAGCAGCUGGUGCGGGUCUCUUCUCUUUAUUCGAAGAAAUCUCGAUCAAAGCCCUCAAAACACACACACGAAACGAACUUUUUAAAUUAUCAUCUUUCACAGAUCUUAAAAUGGCUGGUAGAAACCGCAUUCCUCGUGAUGCCCAUAAUGGCAGGCGUGGUUUCCCACCUGAGAGACCUUUCAUUCGUGGCCCUCCUUUGCCACAUCCUCCUCCUCACCCUGCUUUGUUGGAGGAUGAACUUGAAAUACAGCACGCUGAAAUCCAUGGACUCCUGGUUGAUAAUCGUCGCUUGUUGGAAGAUCGAAUGGCUCUGCAGCAAGAGCUUGGUGCUGCCAAGGAAGAAAUUCAUCGUAUGAAUCUCAUCAUUGCCGAAAUUCGUAAUGAACAAGAAGUGCGCUCAAGGGAACUUAUUGAGAAAGGCUUGAAGCUGGAAGCUGAUCUUCGCGCAACUGAACCUUUGAAGAAUGAGUCUGUACAGCUCCGUGCAGAAGUUCAGAAACUGAAUAAUGUGAAGCAGGAUCUCCUUGGGCAAAUUCAGACCCUCAAACAAGAUCUUUCACGAUUGCAAGCUGAUAAUCAACAGAUUCCUCUUUUACAGGGUGAGAUUGAGGGCCUCCACCAGGAGCUGAUGCAUGCUAGAACUGCUGUUGAUUAUGAAAAGAAGGCAAACAUGGAGUUGGUGGAGCAGAGACAGGCAAUGGAGAAGAACAUGGUUUCCAUGGCACGUGAAGUUGAAAAGCUAAGGGCUGAACUUGCUAGUACUGAUGCUCGGCCUUGGGUUCCUGGUGGACCGUAUGGGAUGAAGUUCAGUAAUCCGGAGGCUAAUUUCCCAGCACCUUAUGGGGAUAGAUAUGGGGUUCACAUGGUUGGUGCUGACAAGGGUCCUUUAUAUGGACCUGGUCCUUCAUGGGACAAGCCUCGUGUGCCUCGUCGCUAGAUGGUUGGUUGUUAUUCAACUCAAGAAGGGCAAAGCUGUUCAUGUGACUGCUUCUUAUCCUGUCCAAUAUCUCAGUAGGCAAGAAGUGUCCUUCAUCUUUGUGUGGAUGCCACUGGUCUUUUAUCUGAAUACAUUGUGGAAAACUGGCUAUGAAAAGGCAGAAAAAGUCAGGUAUGCUCUAUCACUAUUGCCUUUCCUGGACUAGCCUCCCACCCCAUGAGGCAGCUUGAAACUGCUCCCACCCACUUGGAUCACUGAGGGAUUGCUGCAGAAACCAAAAAUCACAGUAGGUAGGUUUUUGUCUUUUGUUGUAUUUCUUUGAAAGAGGUUGUUUUGGCCUUCAGGACUACUUAAAAGAGAAAAAGGAUUACUAACAUGCUUCGUUUUUAAGGAGCAAUAAUAAUAGAAAACGGCAUUCUCAGUUCAACUCAGUUCACUUUGAACAAAUGGGAGUUAUUUUCAAAAUAACGUUUGUUGUAAA
Molecule: RNA transcript, 1535 nt
Organism: Jatropha curcas
Lineage: Eukaryota; Viridiplantae; Streptophyta; Magnoliopsida; Malpighiales; Euphorbiaceae
Gene name: DNA double-strand break repair protein
Source: RefSeq, a predicted model, not a curated record